This is a long non-coding RNA of Gambusia affinis (western mosquitofish), 246 nucleotides long. RefSeq lists it as uncharacterized. The record is from RefSeq and is a predicted model, not a curated record. The transcript is spliced from 2 exons. NCBI's taxonomy places the organism in Eukaryota, Metazoa, Chordata, Actinopteri, Cyprinodontiformes, Poeciliidae.
AGCUAUAUUGUAUGUGAGGGCAUUCAACCAACCUUUGUGACAGGGCUUGCUGCACUGUUUUCAAUGUACUACAUCUACAAUAUCAAGAAGAGGCUGCAUGUACACUUGAAUUCAUCCAGAGGCCCUUUCUUGAUAUCAACCCUGAAAGAGGGACCAAGGCCAGCUGUGGCAAGAUCGUCUCCAAGAGGACAGGAAAUACUGUUCAAAAGAAGUUGGUCACUGUCAACCCCCGUGUUUCAACUCUGC